UACGGAGGGUGCAAGCGUUAUCCGGAUUUACUGGGUUUAAAGGGUGCGUAGGCGGGCUUUUAAGUCAGCGGUGAAAGCUUCGAGCUUAACUCGGAAAUUGCCGUUGAUACUAUUAGUCUUGAAUUAAGUUGAGGUGGGCGGAAUGUGUCAUGUAGCGGUGAAAUGCUUAGAUAUGACACAGAACACCGAUUGCGAAGGCAGCUCGCUGAACUUAUAUUGACGCUGAGGCACGAAAGCGUGGGGAUCAAACAGG
This 253-nucleotide ribosomal RNA is filed under the name uncultured bacterium. RNAcentral's name for it is "partial 16S ribosomal RNA". It matches the Rfam family "Bacterial small subunit ribosomal RNA", at positions 524 to 776 of the family's 1533-position model. The record is from RNAcentral.